RNAcentral lists this transfer RNA (74 nucleotides) under Trametes cingulata. RNAcentral's name for it is "tRNA-Cys". Lineage: Eukaryota; Fungi; Basidiomycota; Agaricomycetes; Polyporales; Polyporaceae. The record is from RNAcentral.
AGAGUUAAGCUUACAGUUGGUUCUGUAGUAAAUUUGCAACGUUUAUAGUGAGGUUCGAUUCCUUCUUAACUCUA